UCGCUUCAGCAGUGCGUAUACAAACACUGGAACGAUACAGGGAAGAUUAGCAUGGCCCCUGAGCA
RNAcentral lists this small nuclear RNA (65 nucleotides) under Mustela putorius furo (domestic ferret). The record is from RNAcentral. Lineage: Eukaryota; Metazoa; Chordata; Mammalia; Carnivora; Mustelidae.